Molecule: long non-coding RNA, 232 nt
Filed under: Elaeis guineensis (African oil palm)
Lineage: Eukaryota; Viridiplantae; Streptophyta; Magnoliopsida; Arecales; Arecaceae
Description: long non-coding RNA (EGUI_LNC072600)
Source: RNAcentral
CUCUUAGACAAAGGGGAGAAAAAAAUUCAUGUCCAAACUUGGACAAAAGAGAGAGAGAGAAGGCCUUAACAACCAACCUUUGGUUAUUGGUAAGAAAGAAGAGAUAGGAGGAACCAAACCUCAUGCCUUGGUCCCUUGAUGCCGCACCUUCUUCUCUCCAAUAUUUUUCACACACGUCCCUUGUAUUUGGGCAUCCAAAAUUUGAUCACAUCAGGUUCUUCCCACCCCACAU